Molecule: ribosomal RNA, 319 nt
Filed under: Clostridioides difficile
Lineage: Bacteria; Bacillati; Bacillota; Clostridia; Peptostreptococcales; Peptostreptococcaceae
Description: bacterial LSU rRNA
Rfam family: Bacterial large subunit ribosomal RNA
Source: RNAcentral
GCUGGGUUCAGAACGUCGUGAGACAGUUCGGUCCCUAUCCGUCGCAGGCGUAGGAAAUUUGAGAAGACCUGUCCUUAGUACGAGAGGACCGGGAUGGACGUACCUCUGGUGUACCAGUUGUUCUGCCAAGGGCAUGGCUGGGUAGCUAUGUACGGAAUGGAUAAGCGCUGAAAGCAUCUAAGCGCGAAGCCAACUUCAAGAUAAGAGUUCCCACCGCAAGGGUAAGACCCCAGAAAGACUAUCUGGUUGAUAGGUCGAAGGUGUAAGUGCAGCAAUGUAUUUAGCUUAUCGAUACUAAUAGGUCGAGGACUUGACCAAU